Transfer RNA from Trichoderma harzianum, 97 nucleotides. It matches the Rfam family "tRNA". From Rfam's summary of the family: Transfer RNA (tRNA) molecules are approximately 80 nucleotides in length. Their secondary structure includes four short double-helical elements and three loops (D, anti-codon, and T loops). Further hydrogen bonds mediate the characteristic L-shaped molecular structure. tRNAs have two regions of fundamental functional importance: the anti-codon, which is responsible for specific mRNA codon recognition, and the 3' end, to which the tRNAs corresponding amino acid is attached (by aminoacyl-tRNA synthetases). tRNAs cope with the degeneracy of the genetic code in two manners: having more than one tRNA (with a specific anti-codon) for a particular amino acid; and 'wobble' base-pairing, i.e. permitting non-standard base-pairing at the 3rd anti-codon position. The record is from Rfam. NCBI's taxonomy places the organism in Eukaryota, Fungi, Ascomycota, Sordariomycetes, Hypocreales, Hypocreaceae.
GCUUCCGUAGCUCAGUUGGUUAGAGCUUCGUACUAAUACUAGAUUCCCUCUAGACUUGGUAAUGCGAAGGUCGCAGGUUCAAGCCCUGCCGGGAGCA